UGGAUUAGGCAUGCAAGUGGGACGCCCCGCAAGGGGAGUCGCGAAAGGGUGAGUAACACGUGAACAAUCUGCCCCGAAGUUGGGAACAACCUUUGGAAACGAAGGCUAAUACCUGAUGUGGAUGCGGCCGGGAUUCCGGUUGUAUAGAAAGGCGCAAGUCGCUUCGGGAUGAGUUCGCGGCCCAUAAGCUUGUUGGUGAGGUAACGGCUCACCAAGGCAAUGACGGGUAGGUGGUCUGAGAGGAUGGUCACCCACACUGGUACUGAGACACUGACCAGACUCCUGCGGGAGGCUGCAGUCGAGAAUCUUCCGCAAUGCGCGAAAGCGUGACGGAGCAAUGCCGCGUGAAGGAUGACGGUCUUCGGAUUGUAAACUUCUGUCGGGGGGGACGAACAAUGACGGUACCCCCAAAGGAAGCCACGGCUAACUACGUGCCAGCAGCCGCGGUAAUACGUAGGUGGCGAGCGUUACUCGGAGUUACUGGGCGUAAAGGGUCCGUAGGUGGCCGUCUAAGUCUGAGGUGAAAGCCUGCAGCUCAACUGCAGAACUGCCUUGGAAACUGGAUGGCUAGAGUGCAGGAGAGGUAAGUGGAAUUUGUGGUGUAGCGGUGGAAUGCGUGGAUAUCACAAGGAACACCAGAGGCGAAAGCGGCUUACUGGACUGCAACUGACACUGAGGGACGAAAGCCAGGGGAGCAAAAAGGAUUAGAUACCCUUGUAGUCCUGGCUAUAAACGUUGUGCGCUCGUCGUCGGGGUGGUUAGUCGC
RNAcentral lists this ribosomal RNA (766 nucleotides) under uncultured bacterium. RNAcentral's name for it is "bacterial SSU rRNA". It matches the Rfam family "Bacterial small subunit ribosomal RNA", at positions 45 to 838 of the family's 1533-position model. The record is from RNAcentral.